UAUAUUUUAAUGUAAAAGCAUAUAAAUUUUUGAAAUUUAAAGAAAAAGAAAAUCUUUUAAAUAUAA
Molecule: transfer RNA, 66 nt
Filed under: Scolia bicincta
Lineage: Eukaryota; Metazoa; Arthropoda; Insecta; Hymenoptera; Scoliidae
Description: tRNA-Gln
Source: RNAcentral